GUUGUUAGUCUUUCUAGUCCAAAUUUUGUAAGUGAGGUCAUCUUUCUGGUGCUACCUUAGAAACUGGCCUUAUUCUAUAAAGGACAUUGAAUGAUAACACUGCGAGUCAGCUGACUGCUGUGUCACAGAGCUGCUGCUUUCUACAUUAUCGCAACUGCCAGAGCUCUUAGUGCUGCAGUUUUCUAGUCGCAGUGCGGCAAAGCAGACGCAUAGAACCAGGCACAAAGCAACAUAGAUUUUUUUUUUUGGUUUUGCUCUUCUGGCUUUUUAUAUGAGGACAGUGUACCUGUGUUAGCAUAGGAGCAGACAUACAGCCUGGACGUGCAUGGUGGCUUCUAACUUUGCAGCGUUUUCCAGCUGAGCAGUAAUUGCUUGGAGCCUUGUACCCAAAUUGCCUCUGAUGAAGAACGGCUGGGUUCCCACUUUGUAUACUUAUAGUUUUGUAUGCCACGAUGAUAUAGCUGCAAGAAUAAGACAAAGGAGAUGGUACUUGUCACUGUCUGUCUGAUUGGGGCCUUUGCAGCCACUCCACUGCCGAAGCUGUUUAAAUAUCCCAGGCUCACAUAUAAUAUUGAUAAUAUAGAUUGCCGCAGUUUCUUACAUCAGUUAGAGCAAAGCUCAAACAAGAAACCAGACUCGCUGACCUAAAUCAAUCCCAAUCUUUCUGGAUACGGGGCAGCAGUCGGCUAGCAAUGACACAACCAGCCAUCAAGUGGAGAGUCUCUGGGAUUGCAAUCUUUAUCAGUUGGAGCCUGUGAGAAUGAAACACUCCACUUUUGGUUAUCCAAUUGCUUCUUCUUUUCUUUUUUUUCGUUCCCGUAAGCAGCUACUAAUUGUGCUCGGUCUCUAAGUGUAUAUUUGUGUGGAUUAGUUUGUCUCUAAUGCAGUCCUUAUCUGCUUUUGCUGGAAAUCAGGGCACCAAGUCAGCUUGCUUUAACAGUUGUUUCUUUCUGCGUGAUGCUAUGCAACUACACUGACAACAAAGGAGCAAGCACAAACCAUCACUAUUUUCUGGGCUGUUACAGGAACAUAAUUCUUGUUUGAUAUGAUGCCCUCCUUUUUUCUUUUCUGCCUUUUUUUAAUUCAUCUAAUUGAAGAACCUAACAGACAUCAUCGUGGAUGUGGUUUUUAAUGAUUUGGAAAAGACAGCCUGUGGAGACUGCGAUUUGAGACAGCAACACAUUUAGGUUAUUGCCAAUUUGAAAUACUUGGUUUGUGAAGCACAGCCCUAAGGGACAAGCUCAGUAUCUGAGCGAGAUUGUAGAUAAAGAAAUAAAAAUGACAAGCGUAAUGGAGGUUCUGCAAAAGAGACUGUCAGAGAAUCAGUUCAUGGAUGGCAAUUUCACCAGUCUGAAACUGAAUAAUUCAUAGAAUGAAAUUACCCUGCUUUCACCUUUCCAUUUAAACCGGCAUGAUCUGAAUCUCUAAUAAAUUUUCAAGAUAAAAGUAAAAUGCCAAUUUGAAUCUGAAGAGCUUUUAAAACCAGAUGCUACAUCCUGAAUCUUUCGAUACCUUUCACAAUUAUCCUGUGAAAACCGCACUUCAUCACGAAGCACCAUUACCAGUGAAAAUUACUGUGAUUACAAUAGCAACAAUAGAAUACCAUCAAAUGAUCUCUAAUUUACCUAAUUUACCAAGGCUGACUGUGUGCCCAUCGUGUGUCAGCAUGUCUGGCAUCGGAUCAAUAUCACACUGGAGCAAAAAAUGUCUCAAUAUAUAGCUCAUCUUUGUUAUCUUUAACUUUGGAAGCCCAGAAAAAAUGUACCUGCUCUGUUAAGCAUUUUUACAAUUGUAUGUAUUAUAUGUUUGUUUUAAGGAUGUCAUUACUAAUCCAUGUUUUUGUUUAGCUCCCAGUUAUUGGAGGGUACUAGUUGUAUAUAUACAAUUUGUUUAUAUUGUUUACUUAUGCAUAAAGACUGCAGCAAAUAAGUAUUAGGACAGAGAAUCCACAGUACUAAAACAAUAGUGAUACAUCUGUAGAUUAAUUCAAUAUGGGUUUUGUGCCUUACUUGAAUACUUACCUAUUUUUAAGAUAGAAAUCUUACCUGGCAUCGCUGGUCCUGGUUGUAUUAUGUAACAAGUAUUCCGUUUUAAAAUGUACUCAAUAGCCAUAGUAAGAAAACAACUGUGUUUAGCACUAACAGGAUUCCCUCCCCCGUGACCCCACACACACCAUUCAGUAAAUAAACUGUUAUUAUAUAUAUACAUGCUCUGUCAAUAUGUGCUGAUCAUUGGAAAUCUCUGGCGGAAAGUAACAACUUCUUUUCUAACAAGCUGGGAAACAUGAUGCUUCGUCAGAAUCUGCUCUCAUUAUGCCAUUUUGAGAAGCUGUUCUGGUAACAAAUCUUCACUUGGGAAAUGCCCAGUGUAGUUGUUUUGUAGCAGGACACAGGACUUCUGAAACAACAGCCUUGUGUAUUUCACCUUACCCUAAAUUCUCCAGGAAACUGUAGCCUGAAAUCACACUUCAACUUACCAAAGAUAAAUCAAGACCUAUUCAUUUCCAAGUGAAAUUAAAACUUUAGAAGCUGCAUUUGUCCACUAAGUGCUACUGAGAUGAGCAGAAUAAACUUCAGAGGAAUUAUUUCAAAAGGACAAACUUUGUGAUUAAUUAAGAGAACAAGCUAGGGAAGUCAACUGGACUGAAGAUCUCAAGGUCUCAAAGUGGAGGAGGAUGCAAAAUAUAAUUAAGAGGAGUGCAUUGACACGAGGAACUUUAAAUCAACUGUGCAGAUUUCAACAGUGCUACUGCAUACUCCUGAUCCGCUCCCCUUCUGAAGAAGCUUACUCUUCAAAAAGCUCCAAAUGAAAGUAAGUUUACUCAUGCCACAUCUUGCCAAACCGCAUAAUCUGGAAAGGAGUAUUGUGGCUCCAGUUGGAAAGUACUAAUUGGGCUUCAGCCAUCACUGGGAAAGUUGCAUCGUAUUUUAUUAUUUUCACUGGCCAAAUGCCCUUUGUUCCCACAUUAACAGCCUCCCUACGGUGCCUGUAACUUUGAUAUUAUUUUCAUUUUUCUGCUAAAUUUUGCCAGAUGAAAGAUACAAACCCUCCAAUUUUGAAAGGGGUGGGGGGGAAGAAUGUUUUGUUAAUUCCAUAUUUCAAAGACAAAGCCUGUGAAAAUUAUAACCUAUGUCUGCUGGCUAAAGCUGCAUUUAGUAAACCCAUCUUGCCAGCUGUUCUUAUUGGCAAAAGGAAACAUAAUAUUUUGGUAUCUUUAAUUUGUCCGUUUCAGAGCAGAGUUUUGCUUGUGUCAUCAUUUAAACCAUACAUGCUAACAUAAGUCUGGCAAGUAACACUGCACUUUAUGCUGACUCAGUUUUGGACAGUAGCACUAUGAUGUUGCAAUAACACAAUUUCAGAAUAUUAAAUCCAACUUAAAUUAAUUUCCUGACUGAAUUACUGCAGGUGUCCUGAAAAGUGCUGCUGAAAAAAUGUUUUGUAUUUUACUUAAUG
Long non-coding RNA from Alligator sinensis (Chinese alligator), 3453 nucleotides. RefSeq lists it as uncharacterized. NCBI's taxonomy places the organism in Eukaryota, Metazoa, Chordata, Crocodylia, Alligatoridae. The record is from RefSeq and is a predicted model, not a curated record. The transcript has 6 exons.